RNAcentral lists this ribosomal RNA (434 nucleotides) under uncultured Roseburia sp. Its description in RNAcentral is "bacterial SSU rRNA". It matches the Rfam family "Bacterial small subunit ribosomal RNA", at positions 341 to 792 of the family's 1533-position model. Lineage: Bacteria; Bacillati; Bacillota; Clostridia; Lachnospirales; Lachnospiraceae. The record is from RNAcentral.
ACGGGAGGCAGCAGUGGGGGAUAUUGCACAAUGGGGGAAACCCUGAUGCAGCGACGCCGCGUGAGUGAUGAAGUAUUUCGGUAUGUAAAGCUCUAUCAGCAGGAAAGAUAAUGACGGUACCUGACUAAGAAGCGCCGGCUAAAUACGUGCCAGCAGCCGCGGUAAUACGUAUGGUGCAAGCGUUAUCCGGAUUUACUGGGUGUAAAGGGAGCGCAGGCGGUACGGCAAGUCUGAUGUGAAAGCCCGGGGCUCAACCCCGGUACUGCAUUGGAAACUGUCGGACUAGAGCGUCGGAGGGGUAAGUGGAAUUCCUAGUGUAGCGGUGAAAUGCGUAGAUAUUAGGAGGAACACCAGUGGCGAAGGCGGUUUACUGGACGAUCACUGACGCUGAGGCUCGAAAGCGUGGGGAGCAAACAGGAUUAGAUACCCUGGUA